This 699-nucleotide ribosomal RNA is filed under the name Halomonas sp. RNAcentral's name for it is "bacterial SSU rRNA". It matches the Rfam family "Bacterial small subunit ribosomal RNA", at positions 59 to 755 of the family's 1533-position model. Lineage: Bacteria; Pseudomonadati; Pseudomonadota; Gammaproteobacteria; Oceanospirillales; Halomonadaceae. The record is from RNAcentral.
CAGUCGAGCGGUAACAGAUCUAGCUUGCUAGAUGCUGACGAGCGGCGGACGGGUGAGUAAUGCAUAGGAAUCUGCCCGGUAGUGGGGGAUAACCUGGGGAAACCCAGGCUAAUACCGCAUACGUCCUACGGGAGAAAGGGGGCUCCGGCUCCCGCUAUUGGAUGAGCCUAUGUCGGAUUAGCUAGUUGGUGAGGUAAUGGCUCACCAAGGCAACGAUCCGUAGCUGGUCUGAGAGGAUGAUCAGCCACAUCGGGACUGAGACACGGCCCGAACUCCUACGGGAGGCAGCAGUGGGGAAUAUUGGACAAUGGGGGCAACCCUGAUCCAGCCAUGCCGCGUGUGUGAAGAAGGCCCUCGGGUUGUAAAGCACUUUCAGCGAGGAAGAACGCCUAGUGGUUAAUACCCAUUAGGAAAGACAUCACUCGCAGAAGAAGCACCGGCUAACUCCGUGCCAGCAGCCGCGGUAAUACGGAGGGUGCAAGCGUUAAUCGGAAUUACUGGGCGUAAAGCGCGCGUAGGUGGCUUGAUAAGCCGGUUGUGAAAGCCCCGGGCUCAACCUGGGAACGGCAUCCGGAACUGUCAGGCUAGAGUGCAGGAGAGGAAGGUAGAAUUCCCGGUGUAGCGGUGAAAUGCGUAGAGAUCGGGAGGAAUACCAGUGGCGAAGGCGGCCUUCUGGACUGACACUGACACUGAGGUGCG